Molecule: ribosomal RNA, 310 nt
Filed under: uncultured soil bacterium
Lineage: Bacteria
Description: bacterial SSU rRNA
Rfam family: Bacterial small subunit ribosomal RNA
Source: RNAcentral
AGAUUGAACGCUGGCGGCAUGCCUUACACAUGCAAGUCGAACGGCAGCACGGGAGCAAUCCUGGUGGCGAGUGGCGAACGGGUGAGUAAUAUAUCGGAACGUGCCCAGUCGUGGGGGAUAACGUAGAGAAAUUUACGCUAAUACCGCAUACGAUCCAAGGAUGAAAGCGGGGGACCGUAAGGCCUCGCGCGACUGGAGCGGCUGAUAUCAGAUUAGCUUGGUUGGUGAGGUAAAAGCUCACCAAGGCGACGAUCUGUAGCUGGUUUGAGAGAACGACCAGCCACGCUGGGACUGAGACACGGCCCAGACU